UUGUUUCUGAACACGUGAAUUUCUCUUGCUGGAGUGUUUCAUUGAAAAGGAAUUUGGUUCUGAAGCUACUCUUGAAGCUUACAAUCUGAAAAACACAGGGGAAUUAUUUUGCUCUAUGUUGUGUUGGAGUUCCUGCCCAAGAGGUGGCAACAGUUCAGACUUCAGACUUAAAUCACGGGGUUAGGAAAGCAAUGAAAGUUAGCAACGGAAGAUCGUAGCCAUGUCUGAACGGCUGGCUGCUACUGAAGCUCGUCCACCGUCUUCGCUUUGUUGAGAUCAAAAGCCUCUUCACUCCUUCACUAUGAGAUGUGGAAAUAUGGAGGGGAAGGAUCCUCGACCGGAACGUCCAUCAGGCCGUGUCCCUCGAUCAGUAUCUCCAUCAAAUCCCGUCGCAUUGCAACUUCCACAGUAAUGUUCAAUGUUACCGGCAGAGGAAAAUCAUCCGUGGAGCCAUCCAAUGCCGAGUUCGCCGGCGGAAGAAGAUCAUCCGUCGAGUCGUCCAUCACCUGAGGCUGUUACACCAGAGGUGCCAGAGGCGUCUGAUCGUGCUCAGGUGGAGUCCAAGGAGGUUCAACUCUCAGACAUGCCAGCAAUCACUCUCGAUGACACUCACGUGCAGAUUGUAAGUUUCCCCUCAGUCCCGAUAUAUUGAUGUGAGACAUGCUGUAUUUACAUCAUAUUGCUAGAAACACAUGCAAAUUGCAUAAUUUGUUAUACAUGUCGCUUAUUGGACCUCAAGAAUAGAGUUGACACCUUAUACACGGUGUUAGUUUGUUCCUUUUUCUAUUGUCCUGAUUAUAUUCCAUCACAGAUUGAGAAACAAAAAGUGGUCAAGGACUCAAGUUCCAGAGACUAAUUAAUUUGUGCAUAAUAUAUUUGAUAUGUUCUGACCCAUAACAAAAAUAGUGUUCUUCAUAUUUGAUAGUCUGUUAGCUGUUAUGUGAUAGUUUGUGAGCUAUUCCUUUGAUGUAUCUGAACUGUGAUGUGGUUUACAGGGUUAGACUGGAUAUGUCUUCUUUUCGUUCUGCAUCCAAAAUAGCCAUAUGGAUGCAAGUACUUUAGACACGUAUCUGUAAUGAAACUGGUGCAGUUGGUGCUUUGUUACUUGGAAACCAAAAAGGACAUAGAGGAAGUGUGCACAUAUAAGAAAAGUAUGUCUUCCCAUAAACUAAAACAUCAAGGUUAUACAAAUAGAGAAAAUGAACCAGUGGCCAUCAAGGUGAAAGUAAACAAACUUAGGAUUUGGUUGUUUAUCCGAUCCAUAAGUAGGCAAGCAAGGGUAAUUUAUGUUAA
Triticum aestivum (bread wheat) is the source of this 1293-nucleotide long non-coding RNA. RefSeq lists it as uncharacterized. The record is from RefSeq and is a predicted model, not a curated record. NCBI's taxonomy places the organism in Eukaryota, Viridiplantae, Streptophyta, Magnoliopsida, Poales, Poaceae. The transcript has 4 exons.